GACGAACGCUGGCGGCGUGCUUAACACAUGCAAGUCGAACGGAAAGGCCCUGCUUUUGUGGGGUGCUCGAGUGGCGAACGGGUGUGUAACACGUGAGUCACCUGCCCUUGACUGUGGGAUAACUUCAGGAAACUGGGGCUAAUACCGGAUAGGAGCUCCUGCUGCAUGGUGGGGGUUGGAAAGUUUCGGCGGUUGGGGAUGGACUCGCGGCUUAUCAGCUUGUUGGUGGGGGAGUGGCUUACCAAGGCUUUGACGGGUAGCCGGCCUGAGAGGGUGACCGGCCACAUUGGGACUGAGAUACGGCCCAGACUCCUACGGGAGGCAGCAGUGGGGAAUAUUGCACAAUGGGCGCAAGCCUGAUGCAGCAACGCCGCGUGCGGGAUGACGGCCUUCGGGUUGUAAACCUCUUUCGCCUGUGACGAAGCGUGAGUGACGGUACUGGGUAAAGAAGCACCGGCUAACUACGUG
RNAcentral lists this ribosomal RNA (468 nucleotides) under uncultured bacterium. RNAcentral describes it as "partial 16S ribosomal RNA". It matches the Rfam family "Bacterial small subunit ribosomal RNA", at positions 28 to 507 of the family's 1533-position model. The record is from RNAcentral.